UGGGGAAUAUUGGACAAUGGGCGCAAGCCUGAUCCAGCAAUGCCGCGUGUGUGAAGAAGGCCUUCGGGUUGUAAAGCACUUUUAUCAGGAGCGAAACGCUGUCGGCUAAUACCCGGCGGAACUGACGGUACCUGAGGAAUAAGCACCGGCUAACUUCGUGCCAGCAGCCGCGGUAAUACGAAGGGUGCAAGCGUUAAUCGGAAUUACUGGGCGUAAAGCGUGCGUAGGCGGUUUCUUAAGUCUGCUGUGAAAUCCCCGGGCUCAACCUGGGAAUGGCAGUGGAUACUGGGAGGCUAGAGUGUGUCAGAGGUGGUGGAAUCCCGGUGUAGCGGUGAAAUGCGUAGAGAUCGGGAGGAACAUCAGUGGCGAAGGCGGCCACCUGGGA
RNAcentral lists this ribosomal RNA (385 nucleotides) under uncultured bacterium. RNAcentral describes it as "partial 16S ribosomal RNA". It matches the Rfam family "Bacterial small subunit ribosomal RNA", at positions 355 to 734 of the family's 1533-position model. The record is from RNAcentral.